UUGCAAUUAAAAAGCUCGUAGUUGAAUGUCUGGGUGGGUGGCGCCGGUGUGGUGCGCAAACGCCGCAGCUGUGUGCCAUUUCUGCCCUGUUAACUUUUGUGGGGUGCGGUGUGGCGGUCUUAGUUGGUCGUUGUGUCGUGAUUUACUCCCUGCAUCGAUUACUGUGAACAAAUUAGAGUGUUCAAAGCAAGCUGCAAAUGCUUGAAUACAUUAGCAUGGAAUAAUGAUAUAGGACUUUGGUGCUAUUUCGUUGGUUGUGUACCAAGGUAAUGAUUAAUAGGGAUAGUUGGGGGUAUUCAUAUUUGAUUGUCAGAGGUGAAAUUCUUGGAUUUAUUAAAGAUGAACAAGUGCGAAAGCAUUUACCAAGGAUGUUUUCAUUAAUCAAGAACGAAAGUCAGGGGAUCGAAGAGGAUUAGAUACCCUCGUAGUCUUGACCAUAAACUAUGCCGACUCAGGAUUGGCGGGGCAAAACUAGCGAUAGUAUGACUCCGUCAGCACUGUGUGAGAAAUCAAAGUCUUUGGGUUUU
Molecule: ribosomal RNA, 527 nt
Filed under: uncultured marine eukaryote
Lineage: Eukaryota
Description: bacterial SSU rRNA
Rfam family: Eukaryotic small subunit ribosomal RNA
Source: RNAcentral